This 384-nucleotide ribosomal RNA is filed under the name uncultured organism. RNAcentral's name for it is "bacterial SSU rRNA". It matches the Rfam family "Bacterial small subunit ribosomal RNA", at positions 45 to 433 of the family's 1533-position model. The record is from RNAcentral.
UGCCUUACACAUGCAAGUCGAACGGUAACAGGUCUUCAGAUGCUGACGAGUGGCGAACGGGUGAGUAAUACAUCGGAACGUGCCCGAUCGUGGGGGAUAACGAAGCGAAAGCUUUGCUAAUACCGCAUAAGAUCCAAGGAUGAAAGCAGGGGACCGCAAGGCCUUGCGCGAACGGAGCGGCCGAUGGCAGAUUAGGUAGUUGGUGGGAUAAAAGCUUACCAAGCCGACGAUCUGUAGCUGGUCUGAGAGGACGACCAGCCACACUGGGACUGAGACACGGCCCAGACUCCUACGGGAGGCAGCAGUGGGGAAUUUUGGACAAUGGGCGAAAGCCUGAUCCAGCCAUGCCGCGUGCAGGAUGAAGGCCUUCGGGUUGUAAACAGC